Molecule: long non-coding RNA, 2282 nt
Filed under: Gadus morhua (Atlantic cod)
Lineage: Eukaryota; Metazoa; Chordata; Actinopteri; Gadiformes; Gadidae
Description: lncRNA (ENSGMOG00000027476.1)
Source: RNAcentral
AUGAAUGGGCGGCCAUUUUCCAGUCCGUGGUCCAUCCUUUAUUAUGUCCAUGCGUACUACGGACUCGCGGACUUGGAAGUUCGUGCUUGGCAAGUCCGGACUUCAAGUACACACUUCCGAGGACGGGAGUACGCACCUGCAAUAGGCUACUUGCACAAGCACUUCCUGAUUCGCCGUAAUACAGCUCAUCAGCUUCCGGUUUCAAGAUGGCAAUGUUCUACACCCGGAGCUGCCGACAAUAAAUAUAACAGAUGUGCAUCGUUUAUGUCGGGAAACAAAAACUCCGACAAUCAAAUUGGAGAAGGGGUUUGGGCUGUAUGCUUCGAUCUACAUUCACAGCUACGAAGCCUCAGUCACCUCCCUUUUACCUGUAUUGUGACUUGUGCCACUACGCAACGGUUGCUCUACCGGAUGGCGUCGUAACUAAUCCCCGGCACUCCGCUGACAGGUUUGUUUAGUUUCCUCUUUGGGUGCAGUUCAAUAACUGCCCCAACUUCCUGUAAGACAACCUGAUGUGUGUGGAUAUCCAAUGCCCUAAUGUGUUCUCUGUGCUCUCUUUUUAGAGUAGUGUUCCUGUCUGGGCCGUAUCUUUGGGAGGCGCGGUUUGGUGGUUUGCCGUGUACUUGCAUGUAUUUAAGUAGGGUGUUACCUGCUCAAUUCAUACAUUUUUACAAUUGUUUAUUAAUAGUAUUUUGUUUUAGGACCAGCAUUGGUGGAGUUGGAGACGGUCACAUUCUGGCGCUGGCGCUUCAGUGCUCCUAUUUUCAUCUCAUAGAAUAAUAACAUGACUUUUUCAACCAUUUAAAAAUAAACUUUGUAGACUUGAACUGGAAACACGUCUCUGUAAGUCUUUACACAAAUCUUUAUUAUAAAUGUUGUUUGUUUUUGUACUAUUGUUGCGGUCACAUUCAUAUACAUAAAUUCUGAUAAGACUUGGACAUCCCCAACUCCAAUUACACCAUCUCUCAACAUGCCACUACUUGUGUGCUAUUAAUCAUUCACAUAGACCUAUUAAGAAAUAAUUUGGUACAGUACUAUAAAUUAAUCUGUAACAGGGGUUGACACUAAGGUUUCAAAAGCACUUGCCCAUCGGGCAAGUACAGGUCAGGUUCAACUUGCCCGAAUGUAAUGUUCACUUGCCCAAAUUAUAAUCAGAAUCGUGAACGGGCCUCCUUUUGCCAGGCACCCGGCCUGGUUUUGGGGGGGCUCAGAAAAAUCAUCCUAGCUCAGACUGAAGCUGAAUGUUAGCUUCCACACAUGUUUAAAAAAUAACAAACUUCUCUUUGUUUACUUAUUUAUCGAGCGGUCACAUCGUGCCAUGAAGUGAUUUCAGUCCACAGUUGCAACCUAUUAAAGCUAUCGCCAAGUUAUAUGUAGACCUGCAUGAUUUCAUGCAAAUGUACAUAACUAAAUGUCAGAGGUAGUAGCAAAGAUAUGUCUUUUUUAACUUUCAAGUUUCUUGUAGCUCUAACUGAAUAAUCACAAUCACGUUUCUAGUAGGGUUGUCAGUCACGAUACUGGAUUUUCUAACUUCAACACUAUUCCUGGAAAAAGAUCGAUAUUCUAUACCAUUUUCGAUAUCAGGGAAAAACGUUUUUUUCAGGAAAGAACAUACCCAAAGUAAAGAGAUUUUAUCUCCACAACUGCAAGGGCGAUAAUGUCAUCUUUGGGAAAAAAGAAAGAUUGUUGUGCAAGUGAAAUAUUCAAUGGGGAUAAUACUUGGUUAAAGUGAAUAAAGCCAUGGAACACAGCAUAAGUGGAAGAUAACAUUUCCACCUGAAAUAAUUAUCAGUAUCAGUUGGUCGUUAUCAGUUGGGAGUGCUGUCUUACUAUGAGACACAAAUAAGGUAGAUAUCUUUCAAUUUUGACACUUGACACCUCUAUUUAAAGUUCAGGGCAAUCGAAUGCACCAAGCCAAACACUCGCAAAUAAAUAUAUGGCCACUAGAUUGCGCUGAAGAAUAUGUUUUCUGAUUGAAGGCAAUUUACCUAUUUCCUAAGAAACCUUCUCUUAUUCAUUGAUUGAAAACACCAUGUUAAGUUGCAAAAUUGGGCCCAGAUACUGGAUAAUCUGUUUAUGGUGGUUUUAUUCGAUCAGAAUCAACUUUGUGGACAAAAAUCACAAAGGUACUUCAUUUUGGUUGUUAAAAGAAAAGGGGACGUUUCUUCUUAAGUUGUUAUUUGCGAGUUUUAGUCACAGAAUGAUAUGGUUUGGACUGUUGGAAUAAGUGGAGGCUCAGCUUUCAUGUAAUAUAUACAGUAGUUUGUGAGGGUCCAAUUUUG